This 253-nucleotide ribosomal RNA is filed under the name uncultured bacterium. RNAcentral's name for it is "partial 16S ribosomal RNA". It matches the Rfam family "Bacterial small subunit ribosomal RNA", at positions 524 to 776 of the family's 1533-position model. The record is from RNAcentral.
UACGUAGGGUGCGAGCGUUGUCCGGAAUUAUUGGGCGUAAAGGGCUCGUAGGCGGUUUGUCGCGUCGGGAGUGAAAUCCACUGGCUUAACUGGUGGCUUGCUUUCGAUACGGGCAGACUGGAGGUAUGCAGGGGAGAACGGAAUUCCUGGUGUAGCGGUGAAAUGCGCAGAUAUCAGGAAGAACACCUAUGGCGAAAGCAGCUCUCUGGGACGGUACUGACGCUGAGACGCGAAAGCGUGGGGAGCGAACAGG